UGGGGAAUUUUGGACAAUGGGGGAAACCCUGAUCCAGCCAUCCCGCGUGUGCGAUGAAGGCCUUCGGGUUGUAAAGCACUUUUGGCAGGAAAGAAACGUCAUGGGUUAAUACCCCGUGAAACUGACGGUACCUGCAGAAUAAGCACCGGCUAACUACGUGCCAGCAGCCGCGGUAAUACGUAGGGUGCAAGCGUUAAUCGGAAUUACUGGGCGUAAAGCGUGCGCAGGCGGUUCGGAAAGAAAGAUGUGAAAUCCCAGAGCUCAACUUUGGAGCUGCAUGUUUAGCUACCGGGCUAGAGUGUGUCAGAGGGAGGUGGAAUUCCGCGUUGAGCAGUGAAAUGCGUAGAUAUGCGGAGGAACACCGAGGGCGAAGGCAGCCUCCUGGGAUAACACUGACGCUCAUGCACGAAGGCGUGGGGGGCAAACAGG
This 429-nucleotide ribosomal RNA is filed under the name Acidobacteriota bacterium. RNAcentral describes it as "Acidobacteria bacterium partial 16S ribosomal RNA". It matches the Rfam family "Bacterial small subunit ribosomal RNA", at positions 355 to 776 of the family's 1533-position model. Lineage: Bacteria; Pseudomonadati; Acidobacteriota. The record is from RNAcentral.